AACGAACGCUGGCGGCAUGCCUAACACAUGCAAGUCGAACGAGACCUUCGGGUCUAGUGGCGCACGGGUGCGUAACGCGUGGGAACCUGCCCUUAGGUUCGGAAUAACUCCCCGAAAGGGGUGCUAAUACCGGAUAAUGUCUUCGGACCAAAGAUUUAUCGCCUUUGGAUGGGCCCGCGUUGGAUUAGCUAGUUGGUAGGGUAAAAGCCUACCAAGGCGACGAUCCAUAGCUGGUCUGAGAGGAUGAUCAGCCACACUGGGACUGAGACACGGCCCAGACUCCUACGGGAGGCAGGAGGGGGGAAUUUUGGAAAAUGGGCGAAAGCCUGACCCAGCAAUGCCGGGGGAGUGAUGAAGGCCUUGGGGUGGUAAAGCUCUUUUACCCGGGAUGAAAAUGACAGUACCGGGAGAAAAAGCCCCGGCCAACCCCGU
RNAcentral lists this ribosomal RNA (432 nucleotides) under uncultured bacterium. Its description in RNAcentral is "partial 16S ribosomal RNA". It matches the Rfam family "Bacterial small subunit ribosomal RNA", at positions 29 to 506 of the family's 1533-position model. The record is from RNAcentral.